AUGUUCACCAUGUAUCGGCGUGACAACCAAGACGCCGACUUCAAACACCUCCACGUCUACAAGCGCAUUGACAAGUGCGAGAAGUGGGCGGAAAUCCGACGUGCCCUCGACAAGGCCAAGGAGACCUACAAGCCGGACGCGACGACUCCGGGCGCGUCAGAGGGGCGGCCGGACAGCCACAAAUUGGCAAAGAAGGGGAAAAACACCGAUGCGACAACCGCGCGAGUGCAGGAGUCCAUCGAGCAUUGCCUCGCCGACGCCCAGGCCCGGGCCGUCCUACGUGAAAAGAAGACCGAGGCGCGGUGGUCGUCGCUGAUGAAGAACAGCGCCAUCAAGCUCGACCUGCUCCGGACGAACGUCGCCGCGAAGAAGAGGAACACCGACAUGGCUUUUUUGAUGGGCGAGGCGGACAUGCUCCAGAGCAACGACGAGCAGCUCAAGGCGUGGUACAUGGUGGAGCGCGGCCUCAUCCUGAACCAGAUGCAGAUGGCAACGCCGACGACGCAAGCUCCCGCGCCCACGACCACACGGACGCCAAGCCCGAACGACGCCUCUACAUCGCCGCCCAGCAGUGCCGAAGCCGCGUCGACACAGCCCAGCACCGAAGUAGCUCCGACACCGCCGAGCCCGCGCACGCCGACUCCGCCAACGCCUGGAGCCGAUCUCGCCGAGUGA
Molecule: ribosomal RNA, 675 nt
Filed under: Triticum aestivum (bread wheat)
Lineage: Eukaryota; Viridiplantae; Streptophyta; Magnoliopsida; Poales; Poaceae
Description: partial small subunit ribosomal RNA
Source: RNAcentral